AUUGAACGCUGGCGGCAUGCCUUACACAUGCAAGCCGAACGGUAACAGGUCUUCGGAUGCUGACGAGUGGCGAACGGGUGAGUAAUACAUCGGAACGUGCCUAGUAGUGGGGGAUAACUACUCGAAAGAGUGGCUAAUACCGCAUGAGAUCUUCGGAUGAAAGCAGGGGAUCGCAAGACCUUGUGCUACUAGAGCGGCCGAUGGCAGAUUAGGUAGUUGGUGGGAUAAAAGCUUACCAAGCCGACGAUCUGUAGCUGGUCUGAGAGGACGAUCAGCCACACUGGGACUGAGACACGGCCCAGACUCCUACGGGAGGCAGCAGUGGGGAAUUUUGGACAAUGGGCGAAAGCCUGAUCCAGCAGUGCCGCGUGCAGGAUGAAGGCCUUCGGGUUGUAAACUGCUUUUGUACGGAACGAAAAGCCCCGGGUUAAUACCCUGGGGUCAUGACGGUACCGUAAGAAUAAGCACCGGCUAACUACGUGCCAGCCGCCGCGGUAA
RNAcentral lists this ribosomal RNA (498 nucleotides) under uncultured bacterium. RNAcentral's name for it is "partial 16S ribosomal RNA". It matches the Rfam family "Bacterial small subunit ribosomal RNA", at positions 30 to 523 of the family's 1533-position model. The record is from RNAcentral.